UUUUGUCUUCCUUUAGCUUUUUUUUUUACUUUGCUUUACCAUUUUUGCUUUCCUUUAGUCUUCCUUUAGCUUUUCUUCAAUAUAACACCAUUUUCUGUGGCUCAGAUCGCAAAACCAUCUUCAUGAAAGUUGUUCCUUAGCUCGUGAACUACAACAUAUCCGAAUUGGAGAUCCAUCGGAGCAGUACAACUCCAGAAAUUCAGGUAUGAUGAGUGAUUGUUCGUCAUUUGUAUAUCAACGCGUCAGACUUGUUGUGAGCUUCAAAAACUCCAUUUUCUCUUGCUCAGAUCAACAUACUUUCUUCAUCGAAGUUGUUCCUUAACUUGUGAACUACAACAUAUCCAAAUUUGAGGUCCCUCGGAGCAGUAUAACUCCAGAAAUCCAGGUAUGAUGAGUGACUGUUCGUCAUUUGUAUAUCAACGCGUCAGACUUGUUGUGAGCUUCAAAAACUCCAUUUUCUCUUGCUCAGAUCAACAUACUUUCUUCAUCGAAGUUGUUCCUUAACUUGUGAACUACAACAUAUCCAAAUUUGAGAUCCCUCGGAGCAGUAUAACUCCAGAAAUCCAGGUAUGAUGAAUGACUGGUUAUUAUUUUUCUGUCAACCCGUCAGAUUUGUUGUGAGCUUUGAAACUCCAUUUUCUCUUGUUCAGAUCGGUAUGCUUUCUUCAUUGAAGUUGUUCCUCAUCGUCUCUUUCAUAACAUAUCAAAAAUUCAGAAUGAAUUAAUGGUUAAAUAUUUCCAG
RNAcentral lists this long non-coding RNA (742 nucleotides) under Malus domestica (apple). RNAcentral describes it as "long non-coding RNA (MDOM_LNC005137)". The record is from RNAcentral. Lineage: Eukaryota; Viridiplantae; Streptophyta; Magnoliopsida; Rosales; Rosaceae.